RNAcentral lists this ribosomal RNA (439 nucleotides) under Atractus boimirim. Its description in RNAcentral is "partial large subunit ribosomal RNA". It matches the Rfam family "Bacterial large subunit ribosomal RNA", at positions 1944 to 2600 of the family's 2925-position model. Lineage: Eukaryota; Metazoa; Chordata; Lepidosauria; Squamata; Dipsadidae. The record is from RNAcentral.
AACCGUGCAAAGGUAGCGUAAUCAUUUGUCUAUUAAUUGUAGACCAGUAUGAAAGGCACAAUGAGGGUCCAUCUGUCUCUUAUAAUAAAUCAAUUAAACUGAUCUCCUAGUAAAAAAGCUAGAAUAUUUACACAAGACCAGAAGACCCUAUGAAACUUAAACUAAACUAUUAAACCCUAUAAUACCUACUUUCGGUUGGGGCGACCUUGGAAAGAAAAAGAACUUCCAAAUAUAUGACCACAACUCACACACGGCCCACAAGCCUCCCACAGACCCAGCAUAGCUGAUAAUUGAACCAAGCUACUCUAGGGAUAACAGCGCCAUCUUCUUCAAGAGCCCAUAUCAAAAAGAAGGUUUACGACCUCGAUGUUGGAUCAGGACAUCCUAAUGGUGCAACCGCUAUUAAGGGUUCGUUUGUUCAACGAUUAAUAGUCCUACG